RNAcentral lists this small RNA (28 nucleotides) under Bombyx mori (domestic silkworm). Its description in RNAcentral is "ovarian small RNA-2663". Lineage: Eukaryota; Metazoa; Arthropoda; Insecta; Lepidoptera; Bombycidae. The record is from RNAcentral.
GAAUCACUAGUUCUGCAUUACCCUUAGA